RNAcentral lists this ribosomal RNA (564 nucleotides) under uncultured Glomeromycotina. Its description in RNAcentral is "SSU rRNA". It matches the Rfam family "Eukaryotic small subunit ribosomal RNA", at positions 548 to 1114 of the family's 1831-position model. The record is from RNAcentral. Lineage: Eukaryota; Fungi; Glomeromycota.
UUGGAGGGCAAGUCUGGUGCCAGCAGCCGCGGUAAUUCCAGCUCCAAUAGCGUAUAUUAAAGUUGUUGCAGUUAAAAAGCUCGUAGUUGAAUUUCGGGAUCAGAUUGUCGGUCGUGCCUCGGUACGCACUGGCAUUAUUGGUUCCUACCUUCUGAAGAACCGCGAUGUCAUUAAUUUGGUGUCGUGGGGAAUCAGGACUGUUACUUUGAAAAAAUUAGAGUGUUUAAAGCAGGCGCACGCUUGAAUACAUUAGCAUGGAAUAAUGAAAUAGGACGUUUGAUUCUAUUUUGUUGGUUUCUAGGAUCGACGUAAUGAUUAAUAGGGAUAGUUGGGGGCAUUAGUAUUCAAUUGUCAGAGGUGAGAUUCUUGGAUUUAUUGAAGACUAACUACUGCGAAAGCAUUUGCCAAGGAUGUUUUCAUUAAUCAAGAACGAAAGUUAGGGGAUCGAAGACGAUCAGAUACCGUCGUAGUCUUAACCAUAAACUAUGCCGACUAGGGAUCGGAUGAUGUUAAUUUUUUAAUGACUCAUUCGGCGCCUUACGGGAAACCAAAGUGUUUGGGUUC